Molecule: ribosomal RNA, 305 nt
Filed under: uncultured bacterium
Lineage: Bacteria
Description: bacterial SSU rRNA
Rfam family: Bacterial small subunit ribosomal RNA
Source: RNAcentral
ACAGUCCUACGGGAGGCAGCAGUAGGGAAUCUUCCACAAUGGGCGAAAGCCUGAUGGAGCAACGCCGCGUGGGUGAAGAAGGUCUUCGGAUCGUAAAACCCUGUUGUUAGAGAAGAAAGUGCGUGAGAGUAACUGUUCACGUUUCGACGGUAUCUAACCAGAAAGCCACGGCUAACUACGUGCCAGCAGCCGCGGUAAUACGUAGGUGGCAAGCGUUAUCCGGAUUUACUGGGUGUAAAGGGCGAGUAGACGGCGUUGCAAGUCAGAUGUGAAAGGCUAGGGCUCAACCUUAGGAGAGCAUCUGC